This 253-nucleotide ribosomal RNA is filed under the name uncultured bacterium. Its description in RNAcentral is "partial 16S ribosomal RNA". It matches the Rfam family "Bacterial small subunit ribosomal RNA", at positions 524 to 776 of the family's 1533-position model. The record is from RNAcentral.
UACGUAGGGGGCAAGCGUUGUCCGGAAUUAUUGGGCGUAAAGAGCUUGUAGGCGGUUUGUCGCGUCUGCUGUGAAAUUUCGGGGCUCAACCCCGAACUUGCAGUGGGUACGGGCAGACUAGAGUGUGGUAGGGGAGACUGGAAUUCCUGGUGUAGCGGUGAAAUGCGCAGAUAUCAGGAGGAACACCGAUGGCGAAGGCAGGUCUCUGGGCAUUAACUGACGCUGAGGAGCGAAAGCAUGGGGAGCGAACAGG